CCAGACUCCUACGGGAGGCAGCAGUGGGGAAUAUUGCACAAUGGGGGAAACCCUGAUGCAGCAACGCCGCGUGAGUGAAGAAGUCAUUCGUGAUGUAAAGCUCUAUCAGCAGGGAAGAAAAUGACGGUACCUGAGUAAGAAGCCCCGGCUAACUACGUGCCAGCAGCCGCGGUAAUACGUAGGGGGCAAGCGUUAUCCGGAUUUACUGGGUGUAAAGGGAGCGUAGACGGCCAGACAAGUCUGAAGUGAAAAUCCAGCGCUUAACGUUGGAAGUGCUUUGGAAACUGCCGGGCUAGAGUGCAGGAGGGGCAGGCGGAAUUCCUAGUGUAGCGGUGAAAUGCGUAGAUAUCUGGAGGAACAUCAGUGGCGAAGGCGACUAUCUGGCACAUAACUGACGCUGAGGAGCGAAAGCGUGGGUAGCAAACAGGAUUAGAUACCCCGGUACC
RNAcentral lists this ribosomal RNA (446 nucleotides) under uncultured bacterium. RNAcentral's name for it is "bacterial SSU rRNA". It matches the Rfam family "Bacterial small subunit ribosomal RNA", at positions 331 to 794 of the family's 1533-position model. The record is from RNAcentral.